AAAGAUCUAGAUAAAUUUUAAAGUUCUUGUAUCAAAAAGAUUUUUUAAGUUUGUUUAGGUGUGAAAUUCUAAUCGCUUUUAUUAAUAUCUAGUAACUUCAGAAAUAAAUUUAGUUUAGAAUGUUUAGGAAUUCUUUAUUUUAAAGAAAUUCUAAAAUCAUUUUUAAGUUUUAGGGGAUGAGCUCUACAACUAUUAUAUAAGAAUAAAUUUCAUUAUUUUUUUCAUAGGCUUAGAAUUAGCCAUUAGAUAGUGUUAUAAAAUAUAACUUUAAGGUUAAGAUUUAUAUUUCUUUUUGUAUUAUGAAGUUAAUUUCAAAAUUUUUUUAGAAAUGAAAAUAUGAUAACAUUAGUAGAUAAAGAUAUUAAGAAUUAAUUUUAAAUUUUUCACAAUAUUUUAUACUUAUAAAUUUAAUAAAAGAACUCGGCAAAUAAAAUUUCCGAAUGUUUAACAAAAACAUUUCCUCCUGGCUUAGGAGGUAAGGCCUGCUCACUGAAUAUUUAAAGAGCCGCAGUAUCCUAACUGUGCUAAGGUAGCAUAAUCAUUAGUCUUUUAAUUGGGGACUGGUAUGAAUGGCUUAACGAGAAAUUGACUUUUUUUGUUAUAAAAAUCGAAUUUAAUUUUUUAGUGAAAAAGCUAAAAUUAUUCAGAAAGACGAGAAGACCCUAUAGAGUUUUAUGUUUUAGGAUAUUUUUUCUUAUUUGAUUUUUUAAGGUUAAAUAUUUAAGAACAUUUUGUUGGGGCGACAUUAAGAUAAAAAAAACUCUUUAUUUUUAAAAUUUUUAUAAAAAGAAAGUUUGAUCCUCUAUAAGAGAUCAAAAGAAAAAAUUACCUUAGGGAUAACAGCGUAAUCUUUUUUGAGAGUUCUAAUCGACAAAAAGGUUUGCGACCU
Molecule: ribosomal RNA, 889 nt
Filed under: Balanus balanus
Lineage: Eukaryota; Metazoa; Arthropoda; Thecostraca; Balanomorpha; Balanidae
Description: partial 16S large subunit ribosomal RNA
Rfam family: Archaeal large subunit ribosomal RNA (bases 395-889)
Source: RNAcentral